Molecule: long non-coding RNA, 979 nt
Filed under: Macaca mulatta (Rhesus monkey)
Lineage: Eukaryota; Metazoa; Chordata; Mammalia; Primates; Cercopithecidae
Description: lncRNA (ENSMMUG00000049486.1)
Source: RNAcentral
GCCAGUGGGCCAGUGGGAGGCAGAGGCCAGAGGGUGGGAGGCCAUGGCGGCUCCCGGUGUCUGAGAUCACUGGCUGCUGCUUAGGCAGAGGCUGGACGGCCAGGUGGGACUGUCGCCUCCUUGGUCACAGCCCCUCCCAGGAUAGCCUCUCAGCUGGAGGCAGGGCUGUGCUGCCGGAUGUGGACCCCGCGGAUGGGUGACUGGCACAGACCCCCUUCCACACAGACCCGGGCUUGCUGUGUUUUCUCUCGGGGGAGGAAACAGUGCCCUCUGCCGGACUCUUCAGGGAUUGCAGGUGCCCCCGACCCAGAAAGCAGCUUCCUCCCGGAUCAGCCCAGAAAAGCAGGACAGCCAGGGGCCGGGCAGGCGUGGAUCUGGGCAGUGAAGGCGUGUGUGAGCCACAGGCACUGUAUGACCUAUGGGAUGGCAGCAGAGCCAGGAUCAGAGGAUCCCAGAGGGCCUCUGGAAGGCAGAGUGCAGUGACCCUGCAGGAAGCUUGGACAGGAGGACCAGACCCGGCCCUGGCUCCUACUCUACUCCAACCCCAGGCACGCACUGAGCCCUGGCCCCGUCCCCUGUGGACCGUAUGGAGGGUGAGACCACGGGAUGGGUGUCCGCAGGUGUGUGCUUUGCUCUUAACCCAGAGAAGCCAAGAGCUGUCUUCCUGCCUCCUCCCCCUCAGUGACUCAGUGCCGUCCCUGGCCACACUCCUCUCCUCUCGCCCCCAUCGCAGCUCCACAUUGACUGAGGGUGCAGGUCCUCUGGGUGACAGGCAGCAGUCCUGGGGGUGGACGGGGGAGCUGACUCAUUGUAGUGGGAGGAGAGGUGUCACAGCUGAAGUCCCCCAAGUUUGGACCCCCAGCCUGUCCAGGUGGCUCCUGGGAGAGCACCCAGGGCUACACCUUCUCAGCAGUGGGGGGGUCCCCUGGGCACCAGAACAAAGACCCCUUUACUCCAGGCUCCACCCUCAGAGGCCAUG